AGAGUUUGAUCAUGGCUCAGGAUGAACGCUGGCGGUAUGCAUUACACAUGCAAGUCGUACGAAAACUUCGGUUUUAGUGGCAAACGGGUGAGGAAUACAUGAGAAUCUACCUUUAAGAGGAGGAUAACAAUUGGAAACACUUGCUAAAACUCCAUACGCCUCUGGGUGAAAAAGUGUAAAACUGCUUAAAGAUGAGCUCAUGUCUGAUUAGCUAGUUGGUGAGGUAAUGGCUCACCAAGGCGACGAUCAGUAGCUGGUCUGAGAGGAUGAUCAGCCACACUGGAACUGAGACACGGUCCAGACUCCUACGGGAGGCAGCAGUGGGGAAUUUUCUGCAAUGGGCGAAAGCCUGACAGAGCAAUACCGCGUGAGGGAAGAAAGCCUACGGGUUGUAAACCUCUUUUCUCAAGGAAGAAGAUCUGACGGUACUUGAGGAAUAAGCAUCGGCUAACUCUGUGCCAGCAGCCGCGGUAAUACAGAGGAUGCAAGCGUUAUCCGGAAUUACUGGGCGUAAAGCGUCUGCAGGUGGACUUUUAAGUCCUUUGUUAAAGCCUAAGGCCUAACCUUAGUUCAGCAAAGGAAACUGGAAGUCUUGA
RNAcentral lists this ribosomal RNA (596 nucleotides) under uncultured bacterium. RNAcentral describes it as "bacterial SSU rRNA". It matches the Rfam family "Bacterial small subunit ribosomal RNA", at positions 8 to 645 of the family's 1533-position model. The record is from RNAcentral.